GACGAACGCUGGCGGCGUGCUUAACACAUGCAAGUCGAACGGAAAGGCCCUGCUGUUGUGGGGUGCUCGAGUGGCGAACGGGUGAGUAACACGUGAGUAACCUGCCCUUGACUUUGGGAUAACUUCAGGAAACUGGGGCUAAUACCGGAUAGGAGCUCCUGCUGCAUGGUGGGGGUUGGAAAGUUUCGGCGGUUGGGGAUGGACUCGCGGCUUAUCAGCUUGUUGGUGGGGUAGUGGCUUACCAAGGCUUUGACGGGUAGCCGGCCUGAGAGGGUGACCGGCCACAUUGGGACUGAGAUACGGCCCAGACUCCUACGGGAGGCAGCAGUGGGGAAUAUUGCACAAUGGGCGGAAGCCUGAUGCAGCAACGCCGCGUGCGGGAUGACGGCAUUCGGGUUGUAAACCGCUUUCGCCUGUGACGAAGCGUGAGUGACGGUAAUGGGUAAAGAAGCACCGGCUAACUACGUG
This 468-nucleotide ribosomal RNA is filed under the name uncultured bacterium. Its description in RNAcentral is "partial 16S ribosomal RNA". It matches the Rfam family "Bacterial small subunit ribosomal RNA", at positions 28 to 507 of the family's 1533-position model. The record is from RNAcentral.